AAAUUGAAGAGUUUGAUCAUGGCUCAGAUUGAACGCUGGCGGCAGGCCUAACACAUGCAAGUCGAACGGUAACAGGAAACAGCUUGCUGUUUCGCUGACGAGUGGCGGACGGGUGAGUAAUGUCUGGGAAACUGCCUGAUGGAGGGGGAUAACUACUGGAAACGGUAGCUAAUACCGCAUAACGUCGCAAGACCAAAGAGGGGGACCUUCGGGCCUCUUGCCAUCGGAUGUGCCCAGAUGGGAUUAGCUAGUAGGUGGGGUAACGGCUCACCUAGGCGACGAUCCCUAGCUGGUCUGAGAGGAUGACCAGCCACACUGGAACUGAGACACGGUCCAGACUCCUACGGGAGGCAGCAGUGGGGAAUAUUGCACAAUGGGCGCAAGCCUGAUGCAGCCAUGCCGCGUGUAU
Molecule: ribosomal RNA, 409 nt
Filed under: Shigella sonnei
Lineage: Bacteria; Pseudomonadati; Pseudomonadota; Gammaproteobacteria; Enterobacterales; Enterobacteriaceae
Description: bacterial SSU rRNA
Rfam family: Bacterial small subunit ribosomal RNA
Source: RNAcentral